This 723-nucleotide ribosomal RNA is filed under the name uncultured Staphylococcus sp. Its description in RNAcentral is "bacterial SSU rRNA". It matches the Rfam family "Bacterial small subunit ribosomal RNA", at positions 61 to 766 of the family's 1533-position model. Lineage: Bacteria; Bacillati; Bacillota; Bacilli; Caryophanales; Staphylococcaceae. The record is from RNAcentral.
GUCGAGCGAACAGACGAGGAGCUUGCUCCUUUGAUGUUAGCGGCGGACGGGUGAGUAACACGUAGGUAACCUACCUAUAAGACUGGGAUAACUUCGGGAAACCGGAGCUAAUACCGGAUAAUAUUUCGAACCGCAUGGUUCGAUAGUGAAAGAUGGCUUUGCUAUCACUUAUAGAUGGACCUGCGCCGUAUUAGCUAGUUGGUAAGGUAACGGCUUACCAAGGCAACGAUACGUAGCCGACCUGAGAGGGUGAUCGGCCACACUGGAACUGAGACACGGUCCAGACUCCUACGGGAGGCAGCAGUAGGGAAUCUUCCGCAAUGGGCGAAAGCCUGACGGAGCAACGCCGCGUGAGUGAUGAAGGUCUUCGGAUCGUAAAACUCUGUUAUUAGGGAAGAACAAACGUGUAAGUAACUGUGCACGUCUUGACGGUACCUAAUCAGAAAGCCACGGCUAACUACGUGCCAGCAGCCGCGGUAAUACGUAGGUGGCAAGCGUUAUCCGGAAUUAUUGGGCGUAAAGCGCGCGUAGGCGGUUUUUUAAGUCUGAUGUGAAAGCCCACGGCUCAACCGUGGAGGGUCAUUGGAAACUGGAAAACUUGAGUGCAGAAGAGGAAAGUGGAAUUCCAUGUGUAGCGGUGAAAUGCGCAGAGAUAUGGAGGAACACCAGUGGCGAAGGCGACUUUCUGGUCUGUAACUGACGCUGAUGUGCGAAAGCGUGGGG